UUAAUACUCCCUCCGUCCCAAAAUUAUUGUCUUAGGUUUGUCCAAAAAUAAAUGUACCUAAAUGUUAAAAUAUGACUAGAUACAUUUAUAUUUAGAUAAAUGUAAGACAAGAAUUUUGGGACGAGGGAGUAGAAC
Non-coding RNA from Hordeum vulgare subsp. vulgare (domesticated barley), 135 nucleotides. Lineage: Eukaryota; Viridiplantae; Streptophyta; Magnoliopsida; Poales; Poaceae. The record is from Rfam.